UACAGAGGUCUCAAGCGUUGUUCGGAUUCAUUGGGCGUAAAGGGUGCGUAGGCGGCGCGGUAAGUCGGAUGUGAAAUCUCGGGGCUUAACCCCGAAACUGCAUUCGAUACUGCCGUGCUUGAGGACUGGAGAGGAGACUGGAAUUUACGGUGUAGCGGUGAAAUGCGUAGAUAUCGUAAGGAAGACCAGUGGCGAAGGCGGGUCUCUGGACAGUUCCUGACGCUGAGGCACGAAGGCCAGGGGAGCAAACGGG
RNAcentral lists this ribosomal RNA (253 nucleotides) under uncultured bacterium. RNAcentral describes it as "partial 16S ribosomal RNA". It matches the Rfam family "Bacterial small subunit ribosomal RNA", at positions 524 to 776 of the family's 1533-position model. The record is from RNAcentral.